GGGCAAGCCUUGUUCUCGGUAGUAUAGUAUACCCCGCGUUCAGGAAGGAAGAUGCAAUCCAACGAAGGUAAUACCAUACCAGGAAAGUCGCUAAGAAUGAAGCUCAGAAUGGAGCUAGUGCAGCUAAGAAUUAGACCUGAGAGAUGAGGGAUAAAGCAGCUAAUGCCAAGACGGCGUAGCUAGUAGCCUGUGCUGUUGUUCCCGGUUAAGCCGGCAAGCGUUGAUCGUCAUCCCAACCUAAAAAGUCAAUCCUAGCUCUUGCAGCUAAUCCUUAAUCCGGAAAGCAGCUAGAGCGGUUCCCGGCAACACCAUCCGCCCAGCCGGUAGCCUAACUAAAAUCAAUCCUCUUCGACGGUUUUCUCAUUCUCGGAAAGCGGCGAUCAUACCCGGCAGUCAGCCUUUAUAUAAGUUGUUCCCCGCUCCGCUUCUACAGUCCGGUUUUGACUCUUUAGUUCUUUCCGGUCUAGCUAUUGGAGCUAUUGUUCUUCC
RNAcentral lists this unclassified non-coding RNA (489 nucleotides) under Hevea brasiliensis (rubber tree). The record is from RNAcentral. Lineage: Eukaryota; Viridiplantae; Streptophyta; Magnoliopsida; Malpighiales; Euphorbiaceae.